RNAcentral lists this ribosomal RNA (268 nucleotides) under uncultured soil bacterium. Its description in RNAcentral is "partial 16S ribosomal RNA". It matches the Rfam family "Bacterial small subunit ribosomal RNA", at positions 26 to 281 of the family's 1533-position model. The record is from RNAcentral.
AGAAUCAACGCUGGCGGCGUGCCUAACACAUGCAAGUCGAACGCGAAAGGGGCUUCGGCCCUGGGUAGAGUGGCAAACGGGUGAGUAACACGUGGGUGACCUACCUUCGAGUGGGGGAUAACGUCCCGAAAGGGACGCUAAUACCGCAUGACAUCCUGCCUUUGAACAGGCGGAGAUCAAAGCCGGGGAUCGCAAGACCCGGCGCUUGAAGAGGGGCCCGCGUCCGAUUAGCUAGUUGGUGAGGUAACGGCUCACCAAGGCGACGAUC